AAUCUGUGAUGAAAAGCUGUCCUUAGGCAUGCAGUUCAGGCUGUUUUGGCCCUUGUUUUUGCUGCCUGCCAGUGAUAGGCCUGUCAUAGUUACACUGAUGGAUU
Xenopus tropicalis (tropical clawed frog) is the source of this 104-nucleotide small nucleolar RNA. The record is from Ensembl. Lineage: Eukaryota; Metazoa; Chordata; Amphibia; Anura; Pipidae.